Molecule: ribosomal RNA, 1675 nt
Filed under: Nematobrycon palmeri (emperor tetra)
Lineage: Eukaryota; Metazoa; Chordata; Actinopteri; Characiformes; Acestrorhamphidae
Description: 16S ribosomal RNA
Rfam family: Bacterial large subunit ribosomal RNA
Source: RNAcentral
GCCAAAAAGCUAGCUCAACCAUAAGAAAAAUAUUACAAUAUUUAUUUACCUUACCAAAAUUAACCUAAUAAACUAAACCAUUCUUCUGCCUUAGUAUGGGCGACAGAAAAGGCACUAAAAGCAAUAGAACUAGUACCGCAAGGGAAAGCUGAAAGAGAAAUGAAAUAACCCAUUUAAGCCCAAAAAAGCAGAGAUAAAUCCUCGUACCUUUUGCAUCAUGAUUUAGUCAGAACCUUAAGAGCAUAGAGAAACUUUAGUUCUUAUUCCCGAAACCAAGUGAGCUACCCCGAGACAGCCUAUAUUAGGGCCAACCCGUCUCUGUUGCAAAAGAGUGGGAAGAUCUCCGGGUAGGGGUGACAGACCUAUCGAACUUGGUGAUAGCUGGUUGCCUAAAAAAUGGAUAUUAGUUCAGCCUCAUAUUCCCCAACCCACACAAGCAAUUCUGCUCUACGGAUUAGGGCAACUUAUGAGAGUUAUUCAAAGGGGGUACAGCCCAUUUGAAUUAGGAUACAACCUAACCAGGAGGUUAAGAGUCAUAUUACACAAGAUAAAUCGCUUUAGUGGGCCUAAAGGCAGCCAUCUACUUAGAAAGCGUUAAAGCUCAAGCGAACUUAAAAUCUUUUAUUCUGAUAUUUUAUCUCCAAACCCCUAUUAAUAUUAGGCUAUUCCAUGCCUACAUGGAAAAAAUACUGCUAAAAUGAGUAACAAGAAGGUAACCCCUUCUCCCCGCCCAUGUGUAAAUUAGAUCGGACCAACCACUAAUAAUUAACGAACCCAAUUAAAGAGGGAAAAGUGGCAACAUAAAAAACCAAGAAAAUCCCACACUAAACAAUCGUUAACCCCACACUGGAGAGCCUUGAGGAAAGAUUAAAAGAAAAGGAAGGAACUCGGCAAACACAAGCCUCGCCUGUUUACCAAAAACAUCGCCUCUUGCAAAAAUCUAUGUAUAAGAGGUCCUACCUGCCCAGUGACUAAGUUAAACGGCCGCGGUAUUUUGACCGUGCAAAGGUAGCGCAAUCACUUGUUUUUUAAAUAAAGACCUGUAUGAAUGGUGAAACGAGGGCUUAACUGUCUCCCUUUUCUAAUCAGUGAAAUUGAUCUACCCGUGCAGAAGCGGGUAUAAAUAUACAAGACGAGAAGACCCUAUGGAGCUUAAGACAUAAAAUCAACUAUGUUUAAAAACCCUACUUUAAAGGUAAAAACAAAAUAGCUAAUUGAUUAACGUCUUCGGUUGGGGCGACCAUGGGAGAAAAAAAAUCCCCCAUGUGGAACGGGAUAUAUCCUAAAACCACGAGGUACACCUCUAAGGCACAGAACUUCUGACCAAAAGAUCCGGCAUAAAGCCGAUCAACGAACCAAGUUACCCUAGGGAUAACAGCGCAAUCCCCUCCAAGAGUCCAUAUCGACAAGGGGGUUUACGACCUCGAUGUUGGAUCAGGACAUCCUAAUGGUGCAGCCGCUAUUAAGGGUUCGUUUGUUCAACGAUUAAAGUCCUACGUGAUCUGAGUUCAGACCGGAGUAAUCCAGGUCAGUUUCUAUCUGUAACGCUACUUCUCCUAGUACGAAAGGACCGGAGAAAUAAGGCCCCUACUCAAAACACGCCUUACUUCUACUCAAUGAAAUCAACUAAAUUGAAUAAAGAAAAGCAUAAUACCUCCAAAGAUAACUUGGAUGA